UACAUGGGGUGCAACCGUUGCUCGGAAUUAUUGGGCGUAAAGCGCGCGUAGGCGGUUACUCAAGUCGGAUGUGAAAGCCCUCGGCUUAACUGAGGAAGUGCACCCGAAACUGAGUAGCUAGAGUACUAAAGAGGGUCGCGGAAUUCCCGGUGUAGAGGUGAAAUUCGUAGAUAUCGGGAGGAACACCGGUGGCGAAGGCGGCGACCUGGGUAGAUACUGACGCUGAGGCGCGAAAGCUAGGGGAGCAAACGGG
This 253-nucleotide ribosomal RNA is filed under the name uncultured bacterium. Its description in RNAcentral is "partial 16S ribosomal RNA". It matches the Rfam family "Bacterial small subunit ribosomal RNA", at positions 524 to 776 of the family's 1533-position model. The record is from RNAcentral.